AUUGGAUGUCCGCGCUGUUCGUCUUUGGAACCGGAAGUUACUCUGUGGCGCAUUUCGUUUGAAGAAGAACGGCGGAAUGUUUUGUCCUAGCUGUGGGAAAAAGCUGGUUGAGGAGUCACCGAACUUUUGCAGCGGCUGUGGCGAGAGGCUUCAUCACGCAUCUUGCAUCGGAGACACUUCACUCCCAUCGACAUCACAGACUACCUCAAACUGCCCGACUCCAACCUUCAGCACCUUCAUAGAAUACAGAAAAAAGAAAAAUGAAGAGAGGCAAAAGUUUUCUGAAGGGAGGAAGGGCUUAAAGAAAAAGGAAAAAAGAAAGGUUCAGAUAAAUGUCGGCUUGAUGACCAUUAAAAAGGGUGGUUUGAAGGCAUACCGUGGAAAAACUAUUUUCCUAACAACAGACCCUGACGCUACUGCCACAAGUCUGCUCAAUCAAGCUGUUAAAAAAAAUGAAGGACUUUAACAAAGAUCUAAAAGAUGGACCUUUCCUUCUUCUGUAUCCGGAUGGCACUGAGGUCAUUACUGUCCCUGGAACACAAAGACCAUUUACACUUGAGGCUUAUAAGGCUGAAGUUGGCAAGCCUUAUCAAAGAAUCACUGUUUUCAUCUGCUUGAAGAGUGACUUUGAGGAUGGUAAGCUGCUAAUGUUUGUUUGGAUUUUGACACACAUUCCCUUAGUUUCAACAACUGCUAAUUUUGAAAUUGUGAAAUGAUAACAUUACGCAUAAAGCACCCAAGUCAAUAGCAUACCUACAUUAAAAUGGUGAAUGGCCUGUAUUUGAUAUAGCACCUUCUAGGGUUCUACAACCCCCAAGACACUUCACAACAAAACCAGUCAUUCACCCACACACAUUCACACACUGCUGGUGAUUAGCUACAAUGUGGACACAACUGUCCUGGGACUCACUGACUGAAGCAAGGCUGCUGUACACAGAUGCCACCUGUCCCUCCCACUACCACCACCUGGCAUGGAGGGUGAAGUGUCUUGCCCAAGGACACAACGACUGUGACAGACUGAGCAGGGCUCAAACCUUCAACCUUUUGAUUACAGGGCGGGCUUUUAACUCCUCUGCCACCAUUGCUCCCUAAAUUAGCUUGUAUAUGUUAUGUUUCUUCCUGGAAACAUGAAAUUCAGCCAUUUUUGGAUCUACUGAGUCAUGAGUUUUCAAUGCUAACUUUAUGCCUUUCGUCUUAAUCUAUUAUUGAUGAUCAAAUAAAGUUUCAUACAUUAGUAUGAAUUUAGUUAGCUUAGCUUGAUUUGUUUUCAUGUAUUGUAGUUGGAGAAAACUCAGACUUGUCUGACUCUGACCCAGAGAUUGUUAUUAAAAGGCCCUCUGAGUUUGAUCUUGCUGAUACACUGGUAAGUACAAUUUAAAAAAUUUUAUAGAGUUUUCUUGUUGUUUAGCCACCACCAUUUGCCUCAGUUCAGUAAAACAGUUAAUAGUUAUAUGUGAAAUACAUUUUGUGUGUGUGUGCGUGCUUGCGUGCGCGUGUUUGUUUGUUUGCUUGUUUAUUUGUUUCAGCCAUGGGAAUUCCAACAUGAAAGCAGUCCUUUACAGAAAGCGGCAGAAUAUGAGAAGGGUGCUGGGGAUCUUGUGCUUGCUAAUGAAGUACAACAGGUCAUAGAUUUGGAAGAAGAAAACGAUACAGGCACUACUGAAUGCCUCACUGUGGAGAGCUCCUGUUACAGAAACUACACACAGCUGUUUGAUCCGAUUGUGAUUGAUGAUGAAGAUCCUACUCCUAACGAAGCCAAAGCUGAGCCCCCAGAAGAACCUGUAGACCCCAAUUUGCAGGCACAUGAAAUUAUUGCAAAUUUGACACUGGAACUUGACCACAAGAAGGUCAGCAGGUUCAAUAUAUCAAGGUCAGCUGUAUGGGAUGGAGCUGUUAGAUGAAAUCCAUCAUCAUCAAGUUUAAUGAUGAUGCUGGCAGCUUUGAAGAAGGUUUGGAUACAGGUGGCCCGAGGCGUGAAUUCCUCACACUUCUUAUGGGCAGUCUGAGAAAUCGCCCAUCUUUGAUGGACCUCCAGAAACCGUUAUCUUGUAUAUAAUUCAAGAGGUGGAUGUUUUCUCCGUAAUUAUUACAAUGAAAAUUUUAAUAAAAAUUGGCUUAUUUUUUUCAUUAGCAUAUUUAAUAGCAAUUAAC
This is a long non-coding RNA of Oreochromis aureus, 2151 nucleotides long. Lineage: Eukaryota; Metazoa; Chordata; Actinopteri; Cichliformes; Cichlidae. The record is from Ensembl.